UCGGGAAUUUUGGGCAAUGGGCGAAAGCCUGACCCAGCAACGCCGCGUGAAGGAUGAAGUAUUUCGGUAUGUAAACUUCGAAAGAAUGGGAAGAAUAAAUGACGGUACUAUUUAUAAGGUCCGGCUAACUACGUGCCAGCAGCCGCGGUAAUACGUAGGGACCAAGCGUUGUUCGGAUUUACUGGGCGUAAAGGGCGCGUAGGCGGCAAUUCAAGUCAUCUGUGAAAUCUCCGGGCUUAACUCGGAACGGUCAGAUGAUACUGCUUUGCUAGAGUGCAGAAGGGGCAAUCGGAAUUCUUGGUGUAGCGGUGAAAUGCGUAGAUAUCAAGAGGAACACCUGAGGUGAAGACGGGUUGCUGGGCUGACACUGACGCUGAGGCGC
RNAcentral lists this ribosomal RNA (382 nucleotides) under uncultured bacterium. RNAcentral describes it as "bacterial SSU rRNA". It matches the Rfam family "Bacterial small subunit ribosomal RNA", at positions 355 to 754 of the family's 1533-position model. The record is from RNAcentral.